CACUUCUAUUCCCAGCACAAAUUGCUUCUCUGUUUACUCUGCUUUUCGUCACACCUUUUGUUGCUUCCCCGUGACUGUGAAACCCCCUCCCCCCAUUCUCUCUCUCUCUCUCUCUGUAAAAGCCCCCUCUGUCUGUCUGUCUCUCUUUCUCUCUCUCUCUCUCUCUCAUGGCCGGUUGCCGGAAAAUCACUUUCAGCUCCGCCCAAAUUAGCCAUCACACACCGCCACUAGAAACCCCCAAAUAAAACCCAACCCAUUCUUUCAAUUUUUGUUUUUGAAAAAAAGAAAAAGAGAAAAUCAAUGGAAGUGUUUUUGAGAAACAGUUUUGUUGUUGUUGCUUUGGUGGUGGUGUUUUUGCGCCACCGGGUCGACUCAGAGCCGACUCAGGACAAGCUAGCUCUCCUUGCUUUCCUCGCCCAAACCCCUCACGAGAAUCGCCUCCAAUGGAACUCCUCCAACUCGGCCUGCACCUGGGUCGGCAUCCAAUGCGACUCAAAUCUCUCCUUCGUCUACUCCCUCCGCCUCCCCGGCGUCGGCCUUGUGGGUCAGAUUCCGGCCAACACCAUCGGAAACCUAACCCAACUCCGAAUCCUCAGCCUCCGUGCCAACCGUCUCUCCGGUUCCAUUCCCUCCGAUUUCUCCAACCUCAAGCUCCUGCGAAGCCUCUACCUCCAGAACAACCUGUUCUCCGGCGAGUUUCCCCCGAGUAUCCCCCAGUUAGAUCGCUUGACUCGGUUAGAUAUCUCCAGCAACAACUUCACAGGUUCAAUCCCAUUCGCCGUGAACAAUCUGACCCACUUGACGAGACUUUACUUGCAGAACAAUGGGUUUUCAGGUAGCCUCCCCAGCAUCAGUCAAUCAAGCAUAGUAGAUUUCAAUGUCUCCAACAACCACCUCAACGGUUCAAUCCCUACGAGUCUAUCCAGAUUCCAAGCCUCAUCAUUCGCCGGAAACAUCGAUCUCUGCGGCGUACCUCUUCCCCCUUGCAACCCAUUCUUCCCCUCACCAGCCCCAUCGCCGCCUUCAAUUCCGCCGCCAAACCCACCACGCAAAACAGCCAAAAAGCUCUCCAAAGCCGCCAUUAUUGCCAUCUCAGUCGGAGCUGCUCUGAUUCUCCUCCUCCUCAUCCUAAUUCUCAUCCUAUGUUUGCGAAGGGGGCAGCGGCGGCGACAGGCGGCGAAAACCCAGAAACCCACGGCGGCAGCGAGGUCGGGCGCCGGAGCAGCGGGGGCGGCGGCGGGGGAUCCAGGAACGUCGUCGUCCAUGGAGGUGACGGGGGUGUCAGGGGAAGCAGAGAGAAACAAGCUGUUGUUCUUUGAUGGUGGGAUUUAUAGCUUCGAUUUGGAGGAUCUGUUGAGGGCUUCGGCGGAGGUGUUGGGGAAAGGGAGUGUAGGGACGUCGUACAAGGCGGUGCUGGAAGAAGGGACGACGGUGGUGGUGAAAAGGCUCAAAGAUGUGGUUGUUACCAGGAAAGAAUUCGAAACCCAAAUGGAGCUUGUCGGUAGAAUCAAACACGAUAAUGUGCUUCCUCUCAGAGCUUAUUAUUACUCCAAAGAUGAGAAAUUGCUUGUUUCCGAUUACAUGUCUGCUGGUAGCUUGUCUGCUCUGCUUCACGGGAGCAGAGGCUCGGGGCGGACACCAUUGGAUUGGGACAACCGGAUGAGGAUAGCGUUGAGCACAGGGAGAGGGUUGGCACACCUACAUGUGUCGGGAAAAGUAAUCCACGGGAACAUCAAGGCCUCUAACAUCCUCCUCCGCCAGGACCAUGACGCCUGCGUGUCGGACUUUGGCCUCAACCCUCUCUUUGGCUCCACCACGCCGCCAAACCGGGUGGCGGGCUACCGUGCACCGGAGGUAGUUGAAACUCGCAAAGUUACCUUCAAGUCUGACGUCUACAGUUUUGGAGUAUUACUAUUAGAAUUGUUGACAGGCAAAUCACCCAAUCAGGCCUCGUUAGGUGAGGAGGGUAUUGACUUGCCGAGGUGGGUCCAAUCGGUGGUGCGUGAGGAAUGGACGGCUGAGGUUUUUGAUGUGGAGCUGAUGAGAUACCAAAACAUCGAGGAAGAGAUGGUGCAACUCUUGCAGAUCGCGAUGGCGUGUGUAUCGACUGUACCGGAUCAGAGACCAUCGAUGCCUGAGGUGGUCCGCAUGAUGGAGGAAAUCAACCGGGGUGAGACUGAUGAUGGGUUACGACAAUCGUCGGAUGAGCCAUCAAAAGGAUCAGGCGGUCACACGCCUCCACCAGAGUCGAGGACCCCACCUUAGCCACUUUUCUAAAAUUUCAGCAAGAAGAAAAAAAAGAAAAAAAAGAAAAAAGAAAAAAGGUUGAACGGGCCAAUCUUAAGAUGCGCACAGUGCGUAAGUAAGUGGGUGGAAAGUGCGCAGUGUUAUUUUUAUUUUAUAUUUAUUUUUAUUUUUUUAAAUUGUGCAAUUAUUUUUAAUUUUUAUUCUUGGGAGGGGGAGUUCCAUGAACUGAUUGGAAUUGACCAUUUGUUGGGUUUACUCCUUUUUAUUUUUUUUUCUUAUUUAAUUAUUUUUUGAACA
Non-coding RNA from Camellia sinensis, 2544 nucleotides. The record is from RefSeq and is a predicted model, not a curated record. NCBI's taxonomy places the organism in Eukaryota, Viridiplantae, Streptophyta, Magnoliopsida, Ericales, Theaceae.